UACGGAGGGUGCAAGCGUUAUCCGGAUUUACUGGGUUUAAAGGGAGCGUAGGUGGGUUAGUAAGUCAGUGGUGAAAUCUCCGAGCUUAACUCGGAAACUGCCGUUGAUACUAUUAAUCUUGAAUACUGUGGAGGCUAGCGGAAUAUGUCAUGUAGCGGUGAAAUGCAUAGAUAUGACAUAGAACACCAAUUGCGAAGGCAGCUGGCUACACAAGCAUUGACACUGAGGCUCGAAAGCGUGGGGAUCAAACAGG
Molecule: ribosomal RNA, 253 nt
Filed under: uncultured bacterium
Lineage: Bacteria
Description: partial 16S ribosomal RNA
Rfam family: Bacterial small subunit ribosomal RNA
Source: RNAcentral